UUUAUCGGAGAGUUUGAUCCUGGCUCAGGACGAACGCUGGCGGCGUGCCUAAUACAUGCAAGUCGAGCGGACAGAUGGGAGCUUGCUCCCUGAUGUUAGCGGCGGACGGGUGAGUAACACGUGGGUAACCUGCCUGUAAGACUGGGAUAACUCCGGGAAACCGGGGCUAAUACCGGAUGGUUGUCUGAACCGCAUGGUUCAGACAUAAAAGGUGGCUUCGGCUACCACUUACAGAUGGACCCGCGGCGCAUUAGCUAGUUGGUGAGGUAACGGCUCACCAAGGCGACGAUGCGUAGCCGACCUGAGAGGGUGAUCGGCCACACUGGGACUGAGACACGGCCCAGACUCCUACGGGAGGCAGCAGUAGGGAAUCUUCCGCAAUGG
This 384-nucleotide ribosomal RNA is filed under the name Bacillus velezensis. RNAcentral describes it as "bacterial SSU rRNA". It matches the Rfam family "Bacterial small subunit ribosomal RNA", at positions 1 to 374 of the family's 1533-position model. The record is from RNAcentral. Lineage: Bacteria; Bacillati; Bacillota; Bacilli; Caryophanales; Bacillaceae.